This 492-nucleotide ribosomal RNA is filed under the name uncultured bacterium. RNAcentral's name for it is "partial 16S ribosomal RNA". It matches the Rfam family "Bacterial small subunit ribosomal RNA", at positions 28 to 507 of the family's 1533-position model. The record is from RNAcentral.
GAUGAACGCUAGCUACAGGCUUAACACAUGCAAGUCGAGGGGAAACGGCAUUAAGUGCUUGCACUUUUUGGACGUCGACCGGCGCACGGGUGAGUAACGCGUAUCCAACCUUCCCAUGACUAAGGGAUAACCUGCCGAAAGGCAGACUAAUACCUUAUGGUCUUCACUGACGGCAUCAGAUGUGAAGUAAAGUUUUAUCGGUUAUGGAUGGGGAUGCGUCUGAUUAGCUUGUUGGCGGGGUAACGGCCCACCAAGGCAACGAUCAGUAGGGGUUCUGAGAGGAAGGUCCCCCACAUUGGAACUGAGACACGGUCCAAACUCCUACGGGAGGCAGCAGUGAGGAAUAUUGGUCAAUGGGCGAGAGCCUGAACCAGCCAAGUAGCGUGCAGGAUGACGGCCCUAUGGGUUGUAAACUGCUUUUGUAUGGGGAUAAAGUCAAUCACGUGUGAUUGUUUGCAGGUACCAUACGAAUAAGAACCGGCUAAUUCCGUG